CCUACGGGAGGCAGCAGUGGGGAAUAUUGCGCAAUGGGGGCAACCCUGACGCAGCAACGCCGCGUGAUUGAAGAAGGCCUUCGGGUUGUAAAGAUCUUUAAUCGGGGACGAAUUUUGACGGUACCCGAAGAAUAAGCUCCGGCUAACUACGUGCCAGCAGCCGCGGUAAUACGUAGGAUGCGAGCGUUAUCCGGAUUUAUUGGGUUUAAAGGGUGCGUAGGCGGUCCGUUAAGUCAGCGGUAAAAUUGCGGGGCUCAACCCCGUCGAGCCGUUGAAACUGGCAGACUUGAGUUGGCGAGAAGUACGCGGAAUGCGCGGUGUAGCGGUGAAAUGCAUAGAUAUCGCGCAGAACUCCGAUUGCGAAGGCAGCGUACCGGCGCCAGACUGACGCUGAGGCACGAAAGCGUGGGGAUCGAACAGGAGUAGAUACCCUGGUAGUC
Molecule: ribosomal RNA, 440 nt
Filed under: uncultured bacterium
Lineage: Bacteria
Description: partial 16S ribosomal RNA
Rfam family: Bacterial small subunit ribosomal RNA
Source: RNAcentral